RNAcentral lists this ribosomal RNA (253 nucleotides) under uncultured bacterium. Its description in RNAcentral is "partial 16S ribosomal RNA". It matches the Rfam family "Bacterial small subunit ribosomal RNA", at positions 524 to 776 of the family's 1533-position model. The record is from RNAcentral.
UACGAAGGGGGCGAGCGUUGUUCGGAUUUACUGGGCGUAAAGGGCGCGCAGGCGGCGAUUUUUGUCAGGCGUGAAAGCCCCGGGCUCAACCUGGGAACUGCGCUUGAAACGGGAUUGCUGGAGAUCGGGAGAGGAGAGUGGAAUUCCCAGUGUAGAGGUGAAAUUCGUAGAUAUUGGGAAGAACACCGGUGGCGAAGGCGGCGACCUGGUCCGAUACUGACGCUGAGGCGCGAAAGCGUGGGGAGCAAACAGG